UGGGGAAUUUUGGACAAUGGGCGAAAGCCUGAUCCAGCAAUGCCGCGUGUGUGAAGAAGGCCUUCGGGUUGUAAAGCACUUUUGUCCGGAAAGAAAUCCUUGGCUCUAAUACAGUCGGGGGAUGACGGUACCGGAAGAAUAAGCACCGGCUAACUACGUGCCAGCAGCCGCGGUAAUACGUAGGGUGCAAGCGUUAAUCGGAAUUACUGGGCGUAAAGCGUGCGCAGGCGGUUUGCUAAGACCGAUGUGAAAUCCCCGGGCUCAACCUGGGAACUGCAUUGGUGACUGGCAGGCUAGAGUAUGGCAGAGGGGGGUAGAAUUCCACGUGUAGCAGUGAAAUGCGUAGAGAUGUGGAGGAAUACCGAUGGCGAAGGCAGCCCCCUGGGCCAAUACUGACGCUCAUGCACGAAAGCGUGGGGAGCAAACAGGAUUAGAUACCCUGGUAGUCCACGCCCUAAACGAUGUCAACUAGCUGUUGGGGACUUCAUUUCCUUAGUAACGUAGCUAACGCGUG
Molecule: ribosomal RNA, 514 nt
Filed under: uncultured bacterium
Lineage: Bacteria
Description: partial 16S ribosomal RNA
Rfam family: Bacterial small subunit ribosomal RNA
Source: RNAcentral